Athene cunicularia (burrowing owl) is the source of this 585-nucleotide long non-coding RNA. RefSeq lists it as uncharacterized. The record is from RefSeq and is a predicted model, not a curated record. The transcript is spliced from 5 exons. Lineage: Eukaryota; Metazoa; Chordata; Aves; Strigiformes; Strigidae.
UUGGAGCAUCUGUCCUGAGAGAACAGUAAUCUUUGCCUGGGUCCAACAGGAAACCUUGACGUCUGAACGGAGGCUGCGUAGGAGGUAACCACAUGCCAUAUUGCCACAGCUUUGAUGCAAACAAAAUAUGGCCAAAGAGCCUUUACCCCAAGUCCUCAUGUGAACAGGCCACUCAUCAUCAUCAUCAAGCAGGAGCUGAUGAGGUGUGUGAGAAGGGGUUUGCAGGAGGGGAUCAACAGCUACAUGAGAGAUGAGAUCUAGCCUGGCUGGGAGAUGGAUGGGAAGACAUGUAAGGAUCGCCAGCAAUGCACAUCACGGGGUGGUGUCAGUAAUGCCUCGACCAUUCAUCAAGGACCAGCUGUGGCACCUGUAAUUAAUCUAAGGAAUGUCCCCCAAGGGAGCAGGAGGGUAUCGAAGGAUGCACCCCCCAAUCCCUUGCAGCUGUAUUGACAAACUCCUUAGAUAAGCCUCGAAGAGGUGGACUGAGUGAAACUGGGUGUUUCUCCUGGAGCACCAGGACUGCUGAUCGCCGGCCAUUGUCUAAGCCCGAUACUUGGUGGCUCUAUUGUAUCGCUGAUGACCUUG